UACGUAAGGGGCAAGCGUUGUCCGGAAUCACUGGGCGUAAAGCGCACGUAGGCGGUUUGCCAAGUUGGGGGUGUAAGCUCUAGGCCUAACCUAGAAAUUGCCUCCAAAACUAGCAUACUUGAGUAUUAGAGGGGAAGCUGGAAUUCACGGUGUAGCGGUGAAAUGCGUAGAUAUCGUGGAGAACACCCGUGGCGAAGGCGGGCUUCUGGCUAAUUACUGACGCUGAGGUGCGAAAGCUAGGGGAGCGAACGGG
Molecule: ribosomal RNA, 253 nt
Filed under: uncultured bacterium
Lineage: Bacteria
Description: partial 16S ribosomal RNA
Rfam family: Bacterial small subunit ribosomal RNA
Source: RNAcentral